GCUGGGGUAGCUCAGUUGGUUAGAGCACUAGAUUGUGGAUCUAGGGGUCGAGAGUUCAAAUCUCUCCCCCAGUA
This 74-nucleotide transfer RNA is filed under the name Candidatus Zixiibacteriota bacterium. RNAcentral's name for it is "tRNA-His". It matches the Rfam family "tRNA". From Rfam's summary of the family: Transfer RNA (tRNA) molecules are approximately 80 nucleotides in length. Their secondary structure includes four short double-helical elements and three loops (D, anti-codon, and T loops). Further hydrogen bonds mediate the characteristic L-shaped molecular structure. tRNAs have two regions of fundamental functional importance: the anti-codon, which is responsible for specific mRNA codon recognition, and the 3' end, to which the tRNAs corresponding amino acid is attached (by aminoacyl-tRNA synthetases). tRNAs cope with the degeneracy of the genetic code in two manners: having more than one tRNA (with a specific anti-codon) for a particular amino acid; and 'wobble' base-pairing, i.e. permitting non-standard base-pairing at the 3rd anti-codon position. Lineage: Bacteria; Pseudomonadati; Candidatus Zixiibacteriota. RNAcentral also lists the same sequence under 1 other name. The record is from RNAcentral.